This 716-nucleotide long non-coding RNA is filed under the name Elaeis guineensis (African oil palm). RNAcentral describes it as "long non-coding RNA (EGUI_LNC035974)". Lineage: Eukaryota; Viridiplantae; Streptophyta; Magnoliopsida; Arecales; Arecaceae. The record is from RNAcentral.
CAUGAUUUGCUCUUCUUUUUCUUUCUUAUCUCUCUCUUCGUUUUCUCUCAUGUUACCCACCUCAAACCCCAACCCUGGUCCUCUCCAUCACCAUCUCCAUCUCCAUAAUGCCAACCCUAGCACUAAGCCUAACCCUAAUCGAGAGCCCUCUACAACCCCACCACCAUCUCGAUCUCUGCAACUCCAGUCCUAGUCCUAACCUUAUUCCUUACCUUUGUGACUCUUCUCAACCCAAAACCCUAGCUUUCUUCACUACCAUGUCCAUCUCCAUAGACCAAACCCUAACCCUAACCCAAACCUUAGCACUAACCCUAACCCUCCCCACCACCAUCUCGAUGCUAGCCCUAGUCCAAACCUGAACCCUUACCCUCCGUGGAUCUUUCCAAUUGAAGACCCUAGCUCUCUCCUCCACCAUCUCCAUCUCCAUCGUCCAAACCCUAACACCAAUCCAAACCCCAACCCCAACCCCAACCCUAACCAUAACCCUGACCCAAUAGCUCAUCUUAACCCUAAUUAGGGACCUAACCUAAACCCUAAGUCUAACCCAAACCCUAUCGGUAACCCUAGCUCUAACCUAACAUCUAGGCUAAUCCUAAUUGAAAACCAACCCAAAAACUUCCAACUCGAAACCCAUCAACCCAAUCCCCGAUAACUCGACUACCUAAUGGCCUGAUACCCGCAAACCAAAAUCUAAUAACCCAAUAUCUUAAUAACCC